GUAGGUGAACCUGCGGAAGGAUCAUUAAUGAAACUUCAAAGUCGGCUCUGUUCUGUGCUGGUGGUCUUCCACAUGUGCACGUCAGAGUCGCAAAUCCACACACCUGUGCAUCUUUGACUCGAGGUCUGGAAAAUGACCAAGAGUACUUUUACACACUCUGAAUGUAAUGGAAUGUCUAUGUGCAAUAAUGUACAAAUAAACAACUUUCAACAACGGAUCUCUUGGCUCUC
This 230-nucleotide unclassified non-coding RNA is filed under the name rhizosphere metagenome. Its description in RNAcentral is "partial ribosomal RNA internal transcribed spacer region". The record is from RNAcentral.